AGGUAAGGCUCGAUGUAGACUACAUCGUUGAUAGGCCGGAGGUGGAAGUGUGGUAACACAUGCAGCUGACCGGUACUAAUAAGCCGAGGGCUUGACCUUA
Molecule: ribosomal RNA, 100 nt
Filed under: Flavonifractor sp. An92
Lineage: Bacteria; Bacillati; Bacillota; Clostridia; Eubacteriales; Oscillospiraceae
Description: partial 23S ribosomal RNA
Rfam family: Bacterial large subunit ribosomal RNA
Source: RNAcentral